CGAGCUCUAGUAAAGGGGUGCUGCAGGCGGCUGCCGCCCCCAACCCGCGCCCUCGGGUCCCCCCAUCUCCCCUUAGACUUAAGGGCGUGAGGGAAGCACGCGGGCUCUUUCGCUUGCGGCAUUGUCCGUUUUUCUCCCUUUUGUGUUCUGGUUCUGAAUUCCUCCAGGAUCCAGGAUGACAAUCCGACACCAAGGCCAGCAGUACAGGCCGAGGAUGGCAUUUCUCCCGAAGGUUUCUGUGCUGGCCUGUUGAUCCUGAAGAAUCAGCACUGCUUGUGCAGAACUGCUGGAGGGUGCAGAGCCUGUUACCAGGAACUUCCUCCCCUCUCAGGUGGGGCUGUUCUGAAGGUGGUCCACACUGUUUCUCCCAGAGGCUCCACUUGCCCAGGACUCCAGUGGGCUACAGAAUGAACCCGAUUCCCCUCCUUUCUUUCCCUGGCUCACUUCCCCAGAUCUCUGCUGCCACUUCUCAGGAUCAAUCCUUUCACCAACACUAGGAGAUUUUUAUUCACAUUUUACAGUUUCAGACCCAGAAAAGUGAACCAAUUCCACUGGCCACAUCCUUUCGAAACCAGAUGAAGUGACUCCAUCGCUGACGUUAGGCCCAGAUGGACUGAUCAACUCCCCCUCCCCUGGUACCAGUCAGUCAGUGGAGACCACGAUCCCACCUGCCUUAGUCACUGUGACCAAGGAUUUUCCCUCUGUAUUACCCACUCCUGGAAGCCAUCACAGAGCCAGGUCUUUGGGCAAGGGCUCACCUGUGACUCAUGGUGCCACUUCCUUAAAAAUAAACGUUUACU
Long non-coding RNA from Artibeus jamaicensis (Jamaican fruit-eating bat), 800 nucleotides. RefSeq lists it as uncharacterized. The record is from RefSeq and is a predicted model, not a curated record. The transcript has 3 exons. Lineage: Eukaryota; Metazoa; Chordata; Mammalia; Chiroptera; Phyllostomidae.